RNAcentral lists this small RNA (22 nucleotides) under Arabidopsis thaliana (thale cress). Its description in RNAcentral is "ATSL243690". Lineage: Eukaryota; Viridiplantae; Streptophyta; Magnoliopsida; Brassicales; Brassicaceae. The record is from RNAcentral.
CUUCCUUGCGCCUUAAACCGCU